ACCUUCGUGGUGUAGCGGUCAGCACGCUCGGCCCGUAUUCGAGAGGCCCAUGGUUCGAGUCCUGGAGAGGGCA
Molecule: transfer RNA, 73 nt
Filed under: Stegodyphus mimosarum
Lineage: Eukaryota; Metazoa; Arthropoda; Arachnida; Araneae; Eresidae
Rfam family: tRNA
About the family: Transfer RNA (tRNA) molecules are approximately 80 nucleotides in length.
Source: Rfam by way of RNAcentral